Molecule: long non-coding RNA, 362 nt
Organism: Haliotis rubra (blacklip abalone)
Lineage: Eukaryota; Metazoa; Mollusca; Gastropoda; Lepetellida; Haliotidae
Exons: 3
Source: RefSeq, a predicted model, not a curated record
CAUCGAGAGUGUGUCUGGAAGCUUUGGAGGUUCGUGUACGCGAAUUGGUAUUCAGCAGCAGUCGUCGAUCACAGAGAGAGAAACUGAACGUCCCACGACCUUGUCAGCAAUCCAUUAGGGCAGUGGUGGAAAAAUUGAAGAAGGCGACCGAUGACCAACGUAUAAACAAUUCUGUGUACAUGAAAAGAAAUUACAGCAAAGUUAUGGCCAUGUUGAAGCAAAGAAGAAGAUGAAGAAGGCGUGAAGAGAGUAGUAAGGAGACCAGAAGGCUGUAUGCAGACCAGGGUUGGGCAGUUGGUACCUGUGAAGGUAUGACAUCAUAUAGCUAUUCAGCACACUAUUUUAGAAUAAUGUUAUCACCC